RNAcentral lists this ribosomal RNA (407 nucleotides) under uncultured bacterium. RNAcentral's name for it is "bacterial SSU rRNA". It matches the Rfam family "Bacterial small subunit ribosomal RNA", at positions 355 to 776 of the family's 1533-position model. The record is from RNAcentral.
UGGGGAAUAUUGGGCAAUGGAGGCAACUCUGACCCAGCAACGCCGCGUGAAUGAAGAAGGUCUUCGGAUUGUAAAGUUCUGUGAUGGGGGACGAAGAAAGUGACGGUACCCCAAUAGCAAGCUACGGCUAACUACGUGCCAGCAGCCGCGGUAAUACGUAGGUAGCAAGCGUUGUCCGGAAUGACUGGGCGUAAAGGGUGCGUAGGUGGUUUAACAAGUUGGUAGUGAAAUUCCGAAGCUUAACUUCGGCGCUACUACCAAGACUGUUGAACUUGAGUACAGGAGAGGUAAGUGGAAUUCCUAGUGUAGCGGUGGAAUGCGUAGAUAUUAGGAGGAACACCAGUGGCGAAGGCGACUUACUGGCCUGCAACUGACACUGAGGCACGAAAGCGUGGGGAGCAAACAGG